UCGUGGGGAUUCGUCCCUUCUAGAUAGACACCCUUUGUUUAUGAGUACCAUUGUUUCCUCGGCGGGCCUGCCCGCCGUUGGACAUUUAAAACCUUUGUAGUAGUAGUAUCUUCAGUAAAAAACAAAUAUUA
This 131-nucleotide unclassified non-coding RNA is filed under the name uncultured Pleomassariaceae. Its description in RNAcentral is "sequence contains ITS1". The record is from RNAcentral. Lineage: Eukaryota; Fungi; Ascomycota; Dothideomycetes; Pleosporales.